This 440-nucleotide ribosomal RNA is filed under the name uncultured bacterium. RNAcentral's name for it is "partial 16S ribosomal RNA". It matches the Rfam family "Bacterial small subunit ribosomal RNA", at positions 338 to 795 of the family's 1533-position model. The record is from RNAcentral.
CCUACGGGAGGCAGCAGUGGGGGAUAUUGCACAAUGGGGGGAACCCUGAUGCAGCGACGCCGCGUGGGUGAAGGAGUGUUUCGGCGCGUAAAGCCCUAUCGGCAGGGAAGAAGAUGCCGGUACCUGACCAAGAAGCCCCGGCUAACUACGUGCCAGCAGCCGCGGUCAUACGUAGGGGGCAAGCGUUAUCCGGAUUUACUGGGUGUAACGGGGGCGUAGACGGCAAUGCAAGCCUGGAGUGAAAGCCCGGGGCCCAACCCCGGGACUGCUCUGGGAACUGGCUAGCUGGAGUACAGGAGGGGCAAGCGGAAUUCCUAGUGUAGCGGUGAAAUGCGUAGAUAUUAGGAGGAACACCAGUGGCGAAGGCGGCUUGCUGGACUGUAACUGACGUUGAGGCCCGAAAGCGUGGGGAGCAAACAGGAUUAGAUACCCUUGUAGUC